This 74-nucleotide transfer RNA is filed under the name Alligator mississippiensis (American alligator). RNAcentral's name for it is "tRNA-Thr (TGT) (tRNA-Thr-TGT-12-1)". It matches the Rfam family "tRNA". From Rfam's summary of the family: Transfer RNA (tRNA) molecules are approximately 80 nucleotides in length. Lineage: Eukaryota; Metazoa; Chordata; Crocodylia; Alligatoridae. The record is from Rfam by way of RNAcentral.
GGCACUGUGGCUUAGUUGGUUAAAGCACCUGCCUUGUAAAGAGGGGGUCCUGGGUUCAAAUCCCAGCAGUGCCU